GGCUGGCCAAAGAAAACUACAACUCCCGGCAGCCUCCAGAAUGCCAUCUCCAGUUUGCGAGGCAGUACGGGACUUGAAGGCUUGGGCCCUCGCGAUUGCUGUAGCCUGGGCUGACUCUUCUCGCCCGGUUACUGCCACCUGGUUCUAAAUCAGCACGUCCCCAAAGUGCCUGAGUAUAAGAAGUGUCUGCCAGGCUGAUUGAAAGUGUAGAAUAACAGGUGAAGAAACUGAGGCACAGAGUUAGUUUAUUGCCCUAAUCACAAAGCUACAGGUGGAAGAGGAGGGUUUGAACUCAGAUUUCCUGAAUCCAAAUCUUGGUGAUGUUUAACCUAAGGUGUACUACAUCCUGAGAGCUAGCUGUCCUCAUACUCUAGAGUGGUAGAAGCCUCCCCGCUUAUCUCGGUCUCCUGCUGCCUCAUGCUGCUGCUUGAGUAGUGUGUACAGCUCCAUCAAGUGUUUCACAGUCAUGAACUGAUGCAGAGUUUACCGCUGCCCACCAGAGUCGGAGCCAUGCCUGACCAGGGCUCAGAGAAGGUGCCCACUUCUUCUCCCUGGAGGCAGCCAGUACUGUUAGUUGCCUGUAUAUUCCUCCAGAGAUGUUUUGUGCACAUAAAGAGAAAUCUCAUUGACCUAAGAUGGUUGGAGAAGGCCUUUCUGGAGAAUGAACAUUUUUGAUCAGAGUGGAGCAGAGAACAAGAUCCAGUUGGCUUGGCCAAACAUGGCACCAGGGAGCCGUGGAAGCCUCCUCAGCUGGGGAGUGAUGUUUCUGCGUCAUCAAACAUUUAUGACAAGACGGAGCAACACAGAGUGACUUGGAAUGAAUUCAACAGACCAAUAUUUUGAAAUCAGGGUGGCUUGACUUCCUUUAGAGAGAACAGUUCUCCCAUCUCUUCGAGGCAUCAUCCAGAGGAGGAAGAACAGCAAGGUUCCCAGUCCCAGAGAGCACAACUCUGGUCACACGUUCCAACUCACCGACCAUGAAGUAGCUUAACAGUCUUCUUCGAAUAAGUGAGAAGGAAGCUCCAUGUACCGAAGAGAGAGCCCUCCAGACCUGUGGUCAGACCUCGUUUCUCCUAUGACCUUAGGUCUGCCUGCUCUCCUGCUGAAGGGGAAAGCUCAUGUUGGCAAUGGCCAAGAAUUCCUCCAAAGAUUGAAAUUGCAGCUAGACCAGGAAAGUGAUCUGGCCGUAGGCGGAGUCCCCGCAGUAAAAGUGUUUCUGUAGCUGGGAGUUCACAGCUGCCGUAAAACCUAAAUGUCAGCAACUCCCGUGGUGUUGGAUCACGUGCUACCCCGCUUACAGCCAGCAGCCCUGACAUCGGGGCCAAGCAUCUCAGACACCAAGGCUCUACUGAGGAAGAAGUCAGCUGACCCAGGAUAAACCAAUCAGAAUCUCCCUAGAAGACACCCUCACACACAAGGGCAAGUUUUGUUUAGUUUCUUUCUUCCUUCCUUUUUUCUUUUUUACUAUUUUGUGCACUCCUAAAUCCCAAGUGCCUAAGAUAAUGCCAGGCAUGUAGUAGGUGCUCAUUUUAUAUUGAACUUUAUCUUUCUCUGCAUUUGGAAUCAAGACUAGGCAACUGGUCUCUGCAAGACUGGCGCUGAGAGACCCCUAACCCGGAAGCUAAGGCAGCCAGGAUCUGCCCCAAGGAUUGAGGACUGAACUGGGGGGAAAGGAGGAGGAGUAAGAAGCAGAAAGGAGACGGGUGGAGGCAGAGAGAGGCAAAACAGGUCUCCAGAAUACACCCCUGUGUCCUUAUGAAAAUAUUCCACCCUCCUUUCUCCUUGAGCUUGCUUGAGUGGGUCUUGAUAUUUAAAACCAAGUCAAUCUAACCAAAACAGCAUGUCUCCUUGAAGUCCUUCCCCAGAGGGAACGGUGCAAAUUCCUGUGAACUCUUGAAGUAUUUUUAGCAGCAUAUGCUUGGAUAACUUUAGUCCUUGUCUGAUCUGUGCACUGAGGGAGGUAGGAAGGUGGGAUGGCACUCUGGAGCCUGACUGCCUGGCUCCCAAUCCUUGCUCCUGCCCAUCCAUCCUGCCACCUGGGUCAGGUGAGCUAACUUUUCCGAAACCUCAGUUUCUUCCUCUGCAAAAUGGAGGUGAUAAUGGCCACUACCUCCCUGUGUUAUUUUGAAAAUAUAAAGUGCUUUGCACGGUACUUAGCACAUGGUUAGCACUAAAUAAGUAAAAAUAAUGUAUCCAAUACACUGAACAAGCAGGAGUCUUAUAAAAGCAAUUUGAUUUUUGUCUCCUGUUUCACUUUAAACCUGUGCAUGGUCCGCAAUCUCUUCCUCCCCGAAGAAUGAGAUUCUGAGCAGCCCCAGAAGUUUUCUGAUCAGUGUUAGGUAGUAAAAGCUCCUGGGGUCGCUUUAAGUCAGAGACCGCUGCCUCAGUUCAUCACUUAUUUCUGCUCCCCUCUUUCCACGAGGGCCUCCUUCCGGCAGAAUCCUGGGGGGUUGGUGUAUCUGCUCCUCCACUAUCUUGCUAACCUAUUUUCUGGUUGCCUCAAAGGUUACAUGGGAAUCGAGAAGGAAAGGAGGGGACAGGAAAGUCCUCAAUUGUUUGGCACUGUCAAAGCCUGACUUUGCCCGCUCUGAGUCUGACAGAUACUUGAAGCUGACAGUUCUGCACCCAGAUUUUCUGGAGAUGCCUCUGCUGGACCAUCUAUGAUAACAAAUUCAGGCUUUCCCUUUGGCCAGUCUGCACCCCACCCGCUCCAACUGGCCUCUCCCUUUGGGACAGGAUCCCUUUCAUAAUGACCCCAGACUGACAUUUUUAUUGCUGUACUGAAUGUAACAGCUCCCCAGCCCACCCCCAACACCUGGCCCCCAUUUCCCCUACCUCUGACCUGCCAUCAUAGGGCCGUGUCCCUUCUCUGCUGCCACCAGCCACUGCCGCUUCCUUGAGCACAAGUCAGACCUAGGCCCACCGCAUCCUCCAGCUGCAGGGUACACAAAACAAGCUCUCUGAGAGUCCCAGGGGACAAGGGCUGAGGGUGAAAGCACAAAUGCCUUCUCCAAAGAAGGCCUCCCAAAAUCUUCCCCAGAGGUCAAUAACGUACCCCAUUUCUACUUUCCAAAGUGGUGAAGAGCUUUGAGAAGGGUUCGAUUGGUGUUUGGAAUUUUCUUUUGUAAAUUCUGCUCUUGGCUGGCCUUGCCCCUGCUGUGGAAUGCAGCAGCUGUCAGACUUUAGCGCCUCCGCUAGAACUUGGGUUUGAACCUCCUGUUAAUAAUAAAGCGACAUGUACGGCUGACCUUUACGUUCACAAAAUGUGAUCAGAUGCAUUAUCUCACCCAUUCCUUACAGCACCUCUGCCACACUGGCUAUUCUGCUCUCCCUGUUUUCCUGAUGAGGAAACUGAGGUCACAGAGAGGUCAAAAAGCUUGAGAUUGAGACCCAGUUGGCGCUGCCUACCUGACUCCUUUCCACUGCAGCACACAGCAUAUCAGGGCUCAGUGCUGCCUGGCUGUGGGCCUUCCAUGGCCCCAGGACACUCGGGACCCAAGGGAUGUCCUAAGAGCCUGCCUGGAAAGGCAGUGGCCUUCUGAAUCCAGAGCUAAAACACAGAUGGGAGACCUCCUUGAAGGAGAUCAAGGCAGGCAGCCCUGUGACUGGCAGCUGGGUUCAGAGAAGCAGCCAAAGAAAAGCCUUGCUUCCUUUGCACAUAAAGCCUCCAUUCUCAGCCAUCACACUGGCACAGACACUCACAGACCAGAGCCUCAAAGGACCAGACAAUGAAACAGACACAGGCAAGAGCAAGAGGUUUUUUUUUUUUUUCCUUUUCCAAAUGCAAAACUUAGAUAUUACUCAACACUCAUAUACAAUUUGCAUAUGAGCUGACAUUUUUAUAGGAAAGGCAGAGAUUUCUUAUGCUAGAGUUGCGGGGCAGAUGGCUGGGGGAGGUGUCUAUAAAGACAGCUUUAUAGCCUGUGGCCACUUCCUCAUGGUGAUCAGCGCAUGGGCCAAAAAUACACCAGGUCCCUUUCCCCCUAUGUUUCUUGUCUUCUACCCAUUGUCCUCCUCCUCCCCCUCUCUCUCUAUUAUUGAGCAUUUCUAGUGGUCAGCGCUGAGCUAGCUGCAGGGAUGCGUGACAUGCAAACUUGCCCUCCAGGGGCUCCCAGUCAAGGAGAGGAGACAGGAGAAGAAAAACUAGUGAUGAAAAUGCAGGAUGAUAAAAUAAAGAUGGAGAUGCAUGCAGGGCGCUGCGGUACCCGGAGCGGGGGAAGGGAAGGUGGGCUGGAGGAAGGGCGGAUUUUCAAGGUAUUUUCAUGACCGGUACUGAUGGACCAGGCAUGAUAGUUGCCUAACCCAUCAGAAUAGAUUGCAACCUUUACACAGAAUGGGAAAAUUUUCAACUCGUGGUGGACUAAAAGCUUCACAGAGGAGAUGCCUGAGAGGAGUUGUGAGGGCUUGGUCAUUAGGCAAACAAACUUCAAGAGCUGGGACAGACGAGGGAGUCAGGGGAACUAUUGAGACCUCUUUAUCUCUGGUCCCUUAGAGUCCCAGAGAGGUCAGGAGGUGUUUGUUGAAUGAAUGAAUGAAUGCAUGAACGAAUGAAGUGGAGGCAGUGUGAGGGGAAGCCAUAGAGGACGAGACUGAAAAGCAGCAAUAAGGCAAUAAUGGAGCUGCCAUUGAUUGCAGUCUACUGCUUUCCCUCCUGCCUGUCACAGGGAGAUGAAUUGCCAAGAUUGGAGGGACGAAGAUAUAUAUAAAACCCCUAGAACAGUCCCUGGCACAUAGUAAGUGUUAUAUCAGUGUUUGUUAUUAUUAUCCCAAAGCUAGAGAUAAACACGUUUGAAACUCAGAGAAAUAAGAUAACGAUUUGGACAGCCAGCCCGGUCUGACACCAAAUCCCAUUCUCUGAGCCCAUACCCUUCAGGGAAGUAGGACUGUUUCACUUAAGUGAGUCGCACUAUACAUUUUUGGGGAGGAAAAAAACCGCCACACUUGAACAGUGGCCUGUUCGCUGGAGUAACUGUGGGGCAGAAGCCUAAAGUACAGCUCCCCUCACUUGUCUGUGUUCCUGCAGGCCUCUCAUGGCCAAAGCAUCUCAGUGUGAUUUCCACACAAGGUUCCUAAAGGCAAACCUCUACUCCAUUUGGGGCUCAAUCGAAGAAACUGUGAUCUGGUCCAGUAAUGAAAGCUACACCAUCUUCCUCUACCACACACAUCCAGUGGGCAAGUGAAAGCAUCUGCAAAGGGUGUUUUUCACAAUACACAUUGCAGUACAAGCCAUAGACUAUUGCAGGGUGCAAUUGUGCUGUGUACAGCCUCCAGGGUGAGGAAUGGUGAGCUGGUCUUUGGUUAAAGGCCCUUGGCUUGGCAGUCAUCCUCACGCUCUCUUUGUCCUUGGAGUGUCUGGAACUUUCUGAUUGUCAGUGGUCAGAGCACCCAGAUUUGGUCUGAAACCCAAUAUUGGUUUUCUCAUCUGUGGGAACGCAAUGAAAAUCUAAUGGACCCCACUCUUACGGUCUUAUGGAUGCUACCUCCCAGUUCUUCACUGCUGGUCUUUCUGUAAUUUGGACACCAGAAGUGAAGGCUCCAUAAUAGAGCUGGAAGGUUCUCUCCAGGACAAGAAGGAGCUUUGGAGCCGGGACCAUUUCUUUUGACAAUCUGAACAUCAACAUUCAAUGGAGUAUAACAGCCAUCAUUGCCUGGAUCCAUAUUUCUAAAGUGCUCCAGCCUUUCAGGCACCAAAUAACAUCCAAAUUGUACCCAAUACAGCCAGAAAAAAAAAAAAAAAAAUCAGGCUUCCUCGUCAUUUGUUUGCCAUGAACACAUCUUAUGAAUAGUUUUCUUUAAAAGACGAAUGUGCCGAGGACUUGGGAAAAAUGUAUUUGUGUGUGCAUUUGGUAAGUCUCCAACACCAAAACACAUUCUGGGACUAAUUAUUUUUUAACUAACUAAUCAGUAUGUUUCAUUCAUAAAUUGGGAUUUAUCAGUAUAGCACAUGAAAAGAGAGAACGUAUUAUUAUCUUAAUUUGGUUAAUAUGCAAAAUCGCGCUGUGUUUGUAAUGACCUGCUUUCAGUGAAUAGAGGCAGGCUGGAAAUAGUAGCAGCUUCCCCUAAUGAGGGUGCUGGCUCCCAGCCCCAGCUGUUCACCAGGAGACACUCGAUGUGCUCCUGACCUAUCCGCACACGUGUUCCUCUGGUGAAGAGGCAGGAGUGAUUUCCUCACCAGGGGAAAAACUGAACGCCUUGUGUUUGUUCUGCUGACAGAACCCGUUUUACCCGCUUUGUCAGUGGGCAGCAAAAGCCUGGGGCGUGGGGGGUGGAGGACGGUGGGAAGGAGUGUUCGCUUUGUUGGCUCUAAGACACAAUCUCACGCGCGCGCGCGCGCACACACACACACACACACGCGUGCACACACCCUCCGAACCUGUCAAGAGUAGGGCUCAAAUCUAUUAAUAAAAGAUUCCACCUUAAUCUAGUGAUUCUGGUCUUUCUCACCCUAUUGUGCCUGCCAACCCGUGUGCAGCUGGUCUGCCAUGCAAAUAAACCCUCCAUUCUGAAGUCCCCCGAUAAAGGGAUUUAUUUAUCAGCCCGACCUGAGUAUCCAUUUGUUCCUGCAAAUGAGCGGCUCCUCCCUGCUCUUAUGCACCCUGAUUUAGAGCCAUGGAGGCAGGUUCCCCUGGUUUAUCAGGAGUCUGGAUCAUCUCCCCACCCCCUCCAAACCCCAGGUCAGGCUUUGAACCCCUCUGGGCUGUGGAACUGCCCUGGCCUCACCCAGGAGUGCAGCGAGGGGAGGGGUGGGGGCCAGAGUCGAGCUGGCCUUCCCGUGACACUCUGGAGCAGGGUCCAGCUGCAUUCUUUCUGUCCAGCCCUGGUGCCAGCCUGCCGAGGACUCCGCCCGGGGACAUCCUGAUGUGGCACAUUCUCGAGCCAGGCGCUGCUUUUGUGUUUUAAAGGAGGGCAUUUCCUCUUCUGGUUUUUUGGGGGUUCGUUUUUUCUGUUUGUUGUGAAAAGUUUCAGUCUAGGAGCUAUGUUUUAAUGAUUUUUAUAAUUGAAGUAUAGCUAAUUUGUGUUAGUUUCAAGUGUAUAGCAAAGUGAUUCAGUUAUAGUUCCAUACGUAUAUAUGUAUUAUACACAUACAUAUAUAUAUAUUCUCUUUCAGAUUCUUUUCCAUCAUAGGUUAUUUCAAGAAUGGAGUAUAGUUCCCUGUGCUAUACAGUAGGUCCUUGUUAUUUUACAUAUAGUAGUGUGUAUAUGUUAAUCCCAAACUGCUAAUUUGUCCUUUCCCCCCAAGCUAUUUUUAAAUUACAAGAGAAUUAUACAUGUUCAUUGUAGAAAAUUUAGGAAAAGCAGAAAAUUCUCCAUUAAAAAAUCUAAAUCCCACGGCCAAGAGACAACCAGCACGUACACUCCCAUGUCCUUUGUGCCCGGUCCCCUCAGCCCGUGAAAGAGUGAAUAGUCUGGGCUUCCUCUAUUUGUGAAGCAAAUACUAAAUCAGAAUGGGAAAAAAAAAAAAAAAAACUGUGUUGUAUUUUAAAUAUUUACAUGCAGCAAUCAGUCACAUGACAUUAGCAAGACUAUCUGUGACUGUGUGUGACUAUUCAGAGUAUCCCUAUGAUUAACUACAUUUAGAAACCAUGUCAAAAAUCUAAAUUUGAGACCUUAGGCGACCAUGAGGCCCAGUCAGAUCGCUCUCCUGGGUCCCCUACCCCACCUCCAUGGAUCUUGUGUAUGUGUAUUUGUGUUUAUAUCAUAUUUGAAAUCACUCUAUUUUCACAUUUUUAUAUUAAUAUUACUUUGCUCACAUUUUUACAAGUCAAUAAAAUUCUUCUGCAACAAGGUUUUGAUGGCUACUCAGCAUUCCAUUAUGUAAACUUACCAUUUAAGCUUUCUCCUGUUAGUGUACAUUUCAGAUAAUCCCCUUUUUUUUCCCACUAUGAUAAAUAAUACUGCAUUGAACAUCCUUAUAUGAAAAUCAUUGUGACUCUCUGGGUUCUUUCCUUUGGAUGAAUUCCUAAAAGGAAAAUCACUGGGUCAGAGGGUAGGAACAUUUUAGUGUCUUCUUUCAUGUUGCUCAAUUUGAUUCUAAAUAAGGGCUACUGAUUUACUCUGAAAGAGCAUGUUUACCGUUUUACCGUUUUUAUGUAUGUACCAACAAACUUUUUGGCCAUACCAGCAGCAUGCAGAAGUUUCUGGGCCAGGGAUCAACCUGGUGCCACAGCAGGAACCAGAGUACAGCAGUGACAACUCCAGAGCCACCAGGAAACGCCCACAUUAACCUUUAAUUGGAGAAGUAAUUCACAGAAUACAUGCUCCCUGUAAAAGAUUUUAAAAGGUAAGCCCUAUAUCUCUUUUCACCACCUCUUCCAGUCUCCGAACCCCUCAGAGGCAGCCAGUUUUCAGUUCAGCAAAAGCUCUCAAUCAGUGCAUUUAAUUAGUUAUCCGUGUGCCUCUAUAAAAUGUGUAUCUGUGACCUAAGGAAAACUUGCAUAUUUCUGUACCUAUAGAAAAUGUGGAGGUUUUGUGUGGAUUUUUUUUUUUUACAUGAGUGAUAUCAUAUGGUACAUGUCUUAAUGUGAUUUUUUUCCCACAGCUGUCUGUCUCAUAGCCUUUAUUGUGUAUAUAUAAAUCUACCUUACUCUUCCAAAUGUUCCAUACAUUUCCAUGGGAUAGAUUUGGCCUAGUUUUGACUGCCAUUCUUCUAUGUACAAAUAUUUGGGUUGAUUUUUUGAUUUUUUAUUUCAUUUUUACAAAAAGUGCCAUGGUGCACAUUCUUUUACAGAAGCAAGUGUCUGAACAGAUUUUUUUUUUCCUCUAUAGAAGAAAUCAAGAAAUAGAAUUUCUGGGUCAUGGGACAUACACUGUUUUUAUUUUAAUGGAUAUUGCCAAAUUGCUGAGGUCAUUUUGAGUUUACUUUUAUCUUCUAGAUAAAAUCUCCUAGAAUCUUCUAGAAUGCCUUAGAUUGGAGCUUAAUUAUCAAAAUGUAAUUCUGAAGUAUUCUAUCAGGUAAGAUGGCAGGAAUGUGUAUUCAUUCCUUAGCCCAUCCGUCUCUGUCUUCUGAGGAUCCAGCAUGGCUCCUGAUAUGGUGUCGAGUCAAUAAAUGUUGCUUAGGUGGUCUCCUUUGCACCAGCCACACCCUCAAGGGGCCUCAGCCCGAAACCUGAUUCCUUUAUGCAGCUGCCAACCACCAGCUCAGCUUUCCAGACAGUGCUCAAAUAUCCCCUCUUUUUGGAAGCCCUCCCUGGAGUCCAGGCUGAGUAAGGCAGCUUCUCUUCUGUGUCCCCAUGGCACCCUUAUUUAUUGGCUUGUCAUGCUUAUUGCAAUUUGGAAUUUGGUCACCUCUCCCCUGUUACACCAGGCAGUCUCGGGAAUUCAGUGGUGCCUGGCCUUUAGGCAUCACCUGAUCAGUGUUUGUGGACUGCUGACAGAACAACAAGCAUGUAGGCCUGGCAGUCUGUCAGCUUGGAGAGAGAGAGGGCCAGGUGUAUGCAGUAUUCUUCAUAUCGAGCUUAAUAGGAAACGGCUGUAAGAAAUUAGAUGGCUAGGGUGGCUCAGUGGUAACAAACCCAGGUUCAAUCCCUGGCCCAGUUCAGUGGGUUAAGGAUCCCACAUUGCCGUGAGCUGUGGUAUGGAUCACAGAUGUGGCUUGGAUCCAGGGUUGCUGUGGCUGUGGCGUAGGCCAGCAGCAACAGCUCUGAUUCAACCCCUAGCCUGGGAACUUCCAUAUGCCACAACUGCAGCCCUAAAAAGCAAAAGAAAGAAGAAAAAAAAAUUAGGUGGCUAAUAAUUGACCCUUGACAGUGAUUAUGAUGCUGAUAAAAAUGAUGAAUGAUUGGUAAGAAGGGUAAAUAGUAAACUCUCUCACACAUAAAAAUUUAGAACCACAUCAUUUCACCUCUUGGGAAAAUGUUUAUAACACUCUUCACUUCAAUAUUUCGCCAUGAAACCUAGAAGUUUCUUAGGCAAUUUAUCUUUUCAAAUGCAUCUCAGGGAAUGACAAACAGUAGCCAGAAAGCUGCUCAAAGAGUUCGAGUAUGGCAGCUCAUGGUCAUAAAUCUCUGGGUAGGAUCCUGAUUCUGAAAAGAAACACGAGAAAAGACUGAAAUAAAUCUACCAAGGUGUUAAUCAUGGCAGCACCACUGGAGUUAGGGUGAUGUGUGAUAUUCUUUUCUUCUUUUUACUUUUCUCAAAUCUUUCAGAUUAUACCAUGUAUGUAAAUUCAUUUUACACACACAAAAAAACAAACCAAAACCGAAAACAGACAUAAUCAAAAACAUUUCUAGCAAUUAAUGAAGUUGCUAAGGAGGCAAUUUUAAAUCAUCUAUAAUGGGUGGACAUCUAUGACAUGAGAAUAUAAUUCCAAGAAGGCUAACCUGAGCUAUCAGUUCAUUUGAUAUGAAUUGGGUACUACAACCAAAGACUGUGCUUGGGGCGGGGCUUAAAGUGCAAACAUCAGGUAUACUUCCUACCCUCAGGCAGUUCACAGACUACUGCUAGCCACAAACUCAAGCCACUAAUGGGAGCCAGGCAGCAAAGAGAAAGGAAUGAAAUCCUCCAACAGGCCCUCCUCUAAUAUUUGCUAACAUUUGCUGGCCUUGGAAAAAGUUAAAUGGAAAUCCAUUUACCAGAUGGAUUUAAAACAAGUUAACAAAUCGAAGUGGCUUCUAGUUGUCUACCUUGACACAUGUCCCUUUAUAAUGGCUCUUCUUCUCUUCCCGUGCCUGACUCCAUCACCCAAAGUAGGGAACUUUGUGCAGGUGGAUGGACAGACAUCCUGGCCACACAUUUAAGCUUCAGUCCCUCCCCUUCCCCAUCCCCAGCUUUCUCUUGGCCACUUCUCAGGCACGGGGUAUGUUCCCUAGUAUACGAUUUGCCCUUGGGAGAACUAACUGAGAAAUAAGUCUCUGCAGGCUCUGGAAACAGGCUUGGGUCACAUGGGCAGGGAAUUCCAAGGCCCAGCAGCAUGAUCUAGAAGAGGCAGUGCUGCAUCCAGGCUGCAUGGGGUCAAGGGCAGAGGCCCACUUUGCCUGAAUCUUAGGGAAGCACUAUCCCCUGGGAGGGUUGGGACUCUGGUGUGUGCUGGAGAAUAAAUGCCCCAAGUUACAACAACAGCGGCUACUCAGCUCCAUCCAUGUGGGGACAUGGAUUCGGAGGGCCACAUCUUCUACUUUAUUUUAUUUAUUUACUUUCUUUUUAUAGCCACACCUGCAGCAUAUGGAAGUUUCCAGGCUAGGGAGUGAGUGGGAAUUAGAGCUGCCUACCUAUGCCACAGCCACAGCAACGCCAGAUCCAAGCCGCAUCUUCGACCCAUACCACAGCUCACAGCAAUGCCAGAUACUGAACACACUGAAUGAGGCGAAGGAUGGAACCUACAUCCUCAUGGAAAAUAUAUAUCAGGUUCUUAACCUUGAGCCACAGCGGGAACUCCCACAUCUUCCACUUUUUAAAGAGAGGACACAAACCUGGGCUUUCUUAUGGAAUUGCAUCAUUUUUACAUGUAAGCAAGGAAUAACAAUAAUUUUAAAACCAAAGAAUCAUUCUGCUGGGCAAAUUGAAAAUAUCCGUGAACCACUGUGACCUCUAUGAAAGGAAAGAAAUUUAAAAUCCCAUUUACAUGUUGCUUGACCACUGUUUGGUUUUGAAAAUGAUAUUCACCAAUUCAUUAAUGUCACUUAAGCCCAUAAGUAAGUGAUACAUCUCCGUAGCUAUAUAUAUGUCUGAACUUCAUGCACUUUCUGUUCCGCAGCAGAAAUCUAAUUUACUUGGUACUCCUAGUACUGAUGUAUGUCCCCAUAAGCUAUCAGGAAAGACCUGGUUUUUGGAUCUGCACAUUUUUCUUCCUGGACGUUGACUUUCCUCAUGUCCUCCUCUGGCCUACCGUAAUAACCUGGGCACAUACCUCUCGCUGCAUUUCCCAUAUUGUGCUAUCUUUAGCUCUAUACAUGUUUGUCACUUCAAGAAUUAUCUCCAGGAGUUCCCGUCGUGGCGCAGCAGAAACGAAUCCGACUAGGAACCAUGAGGUUGCAGGUUCGAUCCCUGCCCUCACUCAGUGGGUUAAGGAUCUGGCGUUGCCGUGAGCUGUGGGGUAGGUUGCAGACGUGGCUCAGAUCCCACGUUGCUGUGGCUCUGGUGUAGGCUGGCAGCUGUAGCUCCAAUUCGACCCCUAGCCUGCAAACCUCCAUAUGCCAUGAGUGUGGCCCUAAAGAGCAAAAAAAAAAAAAAAAAAGAAUUAUCUCCAUGUUCCCAGGGCCCAUCACAGAGCCUGUCAUGUGGUGGAUGCCUAGCACCAUUUGUUUGUUCUAACUGACUUUGUCAGUGGUUGAUUCUCUGUGAUGACCCACAUCUCCCCAAUCACAAAAUAAUAAUAAUCAUAGGAGACAUUUCUUGGACACUUAAAUAUAGGUAGGUGCCAUGCCAGGAGCUUUAUGUAAAUUACCUCAUAUGAUUCUUUCAACUAACUGCUCAACACAUUUUUUAUCCCCACUUUCCAGGUGCAGAAACUGAGACUCAGGGACACAAAAAGCCCUGUGUGCGUUUUAUUCAGCUGGCAAAUGUCAGGGGUGGGACUUGAACCAAUCUUGCCUGAUUCCAAAGUACACCAUUACAUAACCAGUAAGCCAGACUUCCCUAAAAGGGUCACUCCCACUUCUUGAGAUGUUUUAGGUAGCACAGAGGAAUUCAUUUCAAUUACUAAGCAUUUGUUUGACUCAAUGUUUAUUUUAGUGUGUUUGAAAAGGCAAAUAAAUGACAACAUCUGUUUAUGG
Molecule: non-coding RNA, 12710 nt
Organism: Sus scrofa (pig)
Lineage: Eukaryota; Metazoa; Chordata; Mammalia; Artiodactyla; Suidae
Source: RefSeq, a predicted model, not a curated record